UUUAUGGAGAGUUUGAUCCUGGCUCAGGAUGAACGCUGGCGGCGUGCCUAAUACAUGCAAGUCGAGCGAACGGACGAGAAGCUUGCUUCUCUGAUGUUAGCGGCGGACGGGUGAGUAACACGUGGAUAACCUACCUAUAAGACUGGGAUAACUUCGGGAAACCGGAGCUAAUACCGGAUAACCG
This 184-nucleotide ribosomal RNA is filed under the name Staphylococcus aureus. RNAcentral describes it as "partial 16S ribosomal RNA". It matches the Rfam family "Bacterial small subunit ribosomal RNA", at positions 1 to 179 of the family's 1533-position model. The record is from RNAcentral. Lineage: Bacteria; Bacillati; Bacillota; Bacilli; Caryophanales; Staphylococcaceae.